GGUUUUCCAUCAUAUGGUGGCCGAGUCAGUUCAAUAGCCAGUGGUCUCAAUGUGCCAUCUUCGGUUAGGAAGAACAAUGCCCUUGAUCCGUAUAGCGUUGUGCCUUCUAGUUUUCUCACCUCCUCCACUAAUGGCAACAACAAAUCAUGGUAGUCCAGGACGAACAGUUUCUUCUGUUUUAUGGCCUGCAUUAAUUGAACAUUUUCACGGCUAAGUGUUGCACCAUAAAAUAUUUAUGCCUAGCAAGUCACUGAUUCAUGCAUUUGCUUUAAAACAUACCUCUUCCACUGUGAGGAAUCCUCUUAUUUCCUGCUCUACUAAUUCAGUGGUGAUGGAUGAUUCCGCAGGGCCAUAAACUUCAGGAUCAAGUUUGCUUUUCAAUGGCCAUUCCUACAUCACACCAAAUUUUUGUUGGUAUAGACAUUUUGUGUGAAGUAGAAGAAAUAGAAAGGAAAUUUAC
Molecule: long non-coding RNA, 460 nt
Filed under: Phaseolus vulgaris (common bean)
Lineage: Eukaryota; Viridiplantae; Streptophyta; Magnoliopsida; Fabales; Fabaceae
Description: long non-coding RNA (PVUL_LNC000077)
Source: RNAcentral